Molecule: ribosomal RNA, 1364 nt
Filed under: Vibrio cholerae
Lineage: Bacteria; Pseudomonadati; Pseudomonadota; Gammaproteobacteria; Vibrionales; Vibrionaceae
Description: partial 23S ribosomal RNA
Rfam family: Bacterial large subunit ribosomal RNA
Source: RNAcentral
CUUCCAGGAAAAGCCUCUAAGCUUCAGAUAGUCAGGAAUCGUACCCCAAACCGACACAGGUGGUCGGGUAGAGAAUACCAAGGCGCUUGAGAGAACUCGGGUGAAGGAACUAGGCAAAAUGGUACCGUAACUUCGGGAGAAGGUACGCUCUUGAUGGUGAAGUCCCUCGCGGAUGGAGCUGACGAGAGUCGCAGAUACCAGGUGGCUGCAACUGUUUAUUAAAAACACAGCACUGUGCAAAAUCGCAAGAUGACGUAUACGGUGUGACGCCUGCCCGGUGCCGGAAGGUUAAUUGAUGGGGUUAGCGCAAGCGAAGCUCUUGAUCGAAGCCCCGGUAAACGGCGGCCGUAACUAUAACGGUCCUAAGGUAGCGAAAUUCCUUGUCGGGUAAGUUCCGACCUGCACGAAUGGCGUAAUGAUGGCCACGCUGUCUCCACCCGAGACUCAGUGAAAUUGAAAUCGCUGUGAAGAUGCAGUGUACCCGCGGCUAGACGGAAAGACCCCGUGAACCUUUACUACAGCUUGGCACUGAACAUUGAACCUACAUGUGUAGGAUAGGUGGGAGGCUAUGAAGACGUGACGCCAGUUGCGUUGGAGCCGUCCUUGAAAUACCACCCUUGUAUGUUUGAUGUUCUAACUUAGACCCGUUAUCCGGGUUGAGGACAGUGCCUGGUGGGUAGUUUGACUGGGGCGGUCUCCUCCCAAAGAGUAACGGAGGAGCACGAAGGUGGGCUAAUCACGGUUGGACAUCGUGAGGUUAGUGCAAUGGCAUAAGCCCGCUUAACUGCGAGAAUGACGGUUCGAGCAGGUGCGAAAGCAGGUCAUAGUGAUCCGGUGGUUCUGUAUGGAAGGGCCAUCGCUCAACGGAUAAAAGGUACUCCGGGGAUAACAGGCUGAUACCGCCCAAGAGUUCAUAUCGACGGCGGUGUUUGGCACCUCGAUGUCGGCUCAUCACAUCCUGGGGCUGAAGUCGGUCCCAAGGGUAUGGCUGUUCGCCAUUUAAAGUGGUACGCGAGCUGGGUUUAGAACGUCGUGAGACAGUUCGGUCCCUAUCUGCCGUGGGCGUUGGAAGAUUGAAGGGGGCUGCUCCUAGUACGAGAGGACCGGAGUGGACGAACCUCUGGUGUUCGGGUUGUGUCGCCAGACGCAUUGCCCGGUAGCUAAGUUCGGAAUUGAUAAGCGCUGAAAGCAUCUAAGCGCGAAGCGAGCCCUGAGAUGAGUCUUCCCUGACAGUUUAACUGUCCUAAAGGGUUGUUCGAGACUAGAACGUUGAUAGGCAGGGUGUGUAAGCGUUGUGAGGCGUUGAGCUAACCUGUACUAAUUGCCCGUGAGGCUUAACCAUACAACACCCAAGGGGUUUUGUA